CAGAAGUUAGUUAAAUUUUAUAACAUAAACCUGUCAUAUUUAAAUCGUCUUUUGACACUUCUUU
RNAcentral lists this transfer RNA (64 nucleotides) under Longpotamon exiguum. RNAcentral describes it as "tRNA-Asp". Lineage: Eukaryota; Metazoa; Arthropoda; Malacostraca; Decapoda; Potamidae. The record is from RNAcentral.